CGAGGGGAGACCCGGCCCGCGCUCUGCGGCCGGGGCGUAGCUCUAGCUCAUCCCCCACCAGUUCAGCCACGGUAGGAUGAGGAGGAUGAGGGUUUGCGGGAGGAAAAGCUUUGGAGAGAUGGGGUGCGGGACUAUGGAACCCGCUUGAGUCCAGUAGGCCAGCGCGGGUCAUUUCCAUAAGAAAGCCGCAACCCAGCUGGAGGCUGCGGUUCUUCAUGGCCUCCCUGCCCCCACCAUCAUUGGCAGCGUGUCGCGGGCUUCUCUGCAGCCUAGAUCUAGGCGACUGGUGUGGAUUGGUGUUGAUGAGAUGUGGCUUCCAGCGUUGCCCGACUCAGACCUGUUUCCAGUCUGGAUGGAGCGGACCGACUGUGUGGGGCCUUUCUACCUGGAGAAAAUCAAGAGUAUGUAACUUUCCCUGCAGAUGGUCUGUCUGUAAGAGCUGACACAGGAACCUUUGGGAGCCAGUAUCUAUUUUGUUUCCGACUGCAAAGUUCCAGCCAAUGAUUUGGAGGGGGGCCGGCACCUUCUGCUGGGAGCUAGUCUGGGAGGGAACAACUCAUUCCUGAGUUCUCUUUCGCAAACAUAUCUCUUGUCUAUUAAAAUAAUAGUAAUAAAAAUAAGAAUAAUAAUUAAAA
RNAcentral lists this long non-coding RNA (635 nucleotides) under Mus musculus (house mouse). Its description in RNAcentral is "POU domain, class 3, transcription factor 3 adjacent noncoding transcript 2". The record is from RNAcentral. Lineage: Eukaryota; Metazoa; Chordata; Mammalia; Rodentia; Muridae.